AGGCCAAUAGCUCCAGCCCCCCACCACGAGCCAGGGCCUACGCCCAGCCCUCUCCUGUGAGGACAGGGCUGCCGGGAGACACCCAGCCCAUCCAGCGACCCCAACCCCAGAGGAAGGCUGGACAGAGCUGAGCCACUGCCCAUCAGAGGCCUACUGCAGGAGAACGGAUGCCCAUGUACCCAGCAUGAGCCAGAAAGGAGCUCCAACCAGGACAACUCUGGGACAAAGUCAGGUGGACAUCACACCUACCAGGCCAUCACAGCCACCUCUGAGCAAAGCCCACGAAGUCCUUCCACAAGCAUUCAGCCCUUUCUGUGUGGGCAGGACUUGUCUCAGACCCACUGGGCACCUGGCUGGGGUGGGGAGAGGCUGGGACUUGUGCCAGACAUCAUCGGCUGAGGUUACACCUGGUUAAUAAAGGGGCUGUUUUCCAGCCCAGAUGUC
This is a non-coding RNA of Heterocephalus glaber (naked mole-rat), 444 nucleotides long. Lineage: Eukaryota; Metazoa; Chordata; Mammalia; Rodentia; Bathyergidae. The record is from RefSeq and is a predicted model, not a curated record.